Molecule: long non-coding RNA, 620 nt
Organism: Puntigrus tetrazona (Sumatra barb)
Lineage: Eukaryota; Metazoa; Chordata; Actinopteri; Cypriniformes; Cyprinidae
Exons: 2
Source: RefSeq, a predicted model, not a curated record
UGAUAUUAAAAAACACAUUUAGUUCAGGAAGAUCUCUCUUUCUCACUCCUCCCCCUUCCUCUAUUCGUUAGAUGUGCUUUAACAAGCUGAAUGAUCAAUGAUUCUUAAUUCCUUACAAAGAUUUUUCAGACUAAAGAGAGUCCUUGAGUGAAGAGCGGCACCCAGCUCAAAUAGUCAGCUUCAGUGAUCACUGACUCACAACAGUGACCGCUCAGCAGCUGCCUCCACCCUCCACACUGCGGCUGAGAGCGUCACAACAGCAGCGUUUCAGGCCUGAUUCUCACAGAGAUGUGUUUGAAAGAAAGACAGAGAGAAAAUUCUGUGAUGCCUUCUAAAGAAAAGACACUUCCUUCGAAGAGACACCUCUUCUCUGUUUUUUCAUCUUGUCAUGCAGUUAUCUCGAGUAGCCAAAAUAGCACAUACACACAAAGAAAUAAAAAAAAGGAGAGAAAAUUAUUUGUUUUAGGUAUAGCUAUAUUUAAUCAGAAGCUUGGUUCGGAGAGAUCUGGGGCUUUCUUCUGCUUGUGUUGGUUCUGGUUUGGUUGCAGCUUUUUAGUAUGACUAGAUAUACAUCAGCAAAGCUUAUAACCACACUAGUCAUGAUGACUCACAUACACUCA